This 535-nucleotide ribosomal RNA is filed under the name Alteromonas sp. RNAcentral describes it as "bacterial SSU rRNA". It matches the Rfam family "Bacterial small subunit ribosomal RNA", at positions 380 to 907 of the family's 1533-position model. The record is from RNAcentral. Lineage: Bacteria; Pseudomonadati; Pseudomonadota; Gammaproteobacteria; Alteromonadales; Alteromonadaceae.
GACCUGAUGCAGCCAUGCCGCGUGUGUGAAGAAGGCCUUCGGGUUGUAAAGCACUUUCAGUUGUGAGGAAAGGUUGGUAGUUAAUACCUGCCAGCUGUGACGUUAACAACAGAAGAAGCACCGGCUAACUCCGUGCCAGCAGCCGCGGUAAUACGGAGGGUGCGAGCGUUAAUCGGAAUUACUGGGCGUAAAGCGCACGCAGGCGGCUUGUUAAGCUAGAGGUGAAAGCCCCGCGCUCAACGUGGGAACUGCCUUUAGAACUGGCAGGCUAGAGUCUUGGAGAGGGGAGUGGAAUUCCAGGUGUAGCGGUGAAAUGCGUAGAUAUCUGGAGGAACAUCAGUGGCGAAGGCGGCUCCCUGGCCAAAGACUGACGCUCAUGUGCGAAAGUGUGGGUAGCGAACAGGAUUAGAUACCCUGGUAGUCCACACCGUAAACGCUGUCUACUAGCUGUUUGUGUAUUUAAUACGUGAGUAGCGAAGCUAACGCGCUAAGUAGACCGCCUGGGGAGUACGGCCGCAAGGUUAAAACUCAAAUG